RNAcentral lists this ribosomal RNA (466 nucleotides) under uncultured bacterium. Its description in RNAcentral is "partial 16S ribosomal RNA". It matches the Rfam family "Bacterial small subunit ribosomal RNA", at positions 28 to 505 of the family's 1533-position model. The record is from RNAcentral.
GACGAACGCUGGCGGCGUGCUUAACACAUGCAAGUCGAACGGAAAGGCCCUGCUUUUGUGGGGUGCUCGAGUGGCGAACGGGUGAGUAACACGUGAGUAACCUGCCCUUGACUUUGGGAUAACUUCAGGAAACUGGGGCUAAUACCGGAUAGGAGCUCCUGCUGCAUGGUGGGGGUUGGAAAGUUUCGGCGGUUGGGGAUGGACUCGCGGCUUAUCAGCUUGUUGGUGGGGUAGUGGCUUACCAAGGCUUUGACGGGUAGCCGGCCUGAGAGGGUGACCGGCCACAUUGGGACUGAGAUACGGCCCAGACUCCUACGGGAGGCAGCAGUGGGGAAUAUUGCACAAUGGGCGGAAGCCUGAUGCAGCAACGCCGCGUGCGAGAUGACGGCCUUCGGGUUGUAAACCGCUUUCGCCUGUGACGAAGCGUGAGUGACGGUAAUGGGUAAAGAAGCACCGGCUAACUACG